GUUGUGGUACAUUGGCUUUUGAAUGUUGUAAAACAGAGAUUAUUUUUGCAGGUUUAUAAAGCCGUCUAUUAAGCCAUGGCUGAGGUGGCAUAAAUCCUGACUUUUUGUUCUUUGGGCAAAAAAACCCAAAACUAAAUGCUUAUUUAUAGAAAGGGCUAUCUGUUAAACAUUGAGUUGUACCAAGAUUACCAAGCAAUUUAGUUGACUUGAGUAUGAUGCACUUGCAUAUUAUGCAAAAUUUUGUUUGCAGUGUUAAAUAUAUAAUGACAUACUAUAUAGAGUCAGU
This 286-nucleotide unclassified non-coding RNA is filed under the name Hevea brasiliensis (rubber tree). The record is from RNAcentral. Lineage: Eukaryota; Viridiplantae; Streptophyta; Magnoliopsida; Malpighiales; Euphorbiaceae.